UACGGGGGGAGCAAGCGUUGUUCGGAUUUACUGGGCGUAAAGGGCGCGGUAGGCGGUCGUGACAAGUCACUUGUGAAAUCUCCGGGCUUAACUCGGAACGGUCAAGUGAUACUGUCGUGCUAGAGUACAGAAGGGGCAACUGGAAUUCUCGGUGUAGCGGUGAAAUGCGUAGAUAUCGAGAGGAACACCUGCGGCGAAGGCGGGUUGCUGGGCUGAUACUGACGCUGAGGCGCGAAAGCUAGGGGAGCGAACGGG
RNAcentral lists this ribosomal RNA (255 nucleotides) under uncultured bacterium. Its description in RNAcentral is "partial 16S ribosomal RNA". It matches the Rfam family "Bacterial small subunit ribosomal RNA", at positions 524 to 776 of the family's 1533-position model. The record is from RNAcentral.